Molecule: transfer RNA, 74 nt
Filed under: Planctomycetota bacterium
Lineage: Bacteria; Pseudomonadati; Planctomycetota
Rfam family: tRNA
About the family: Transfer RNA (tRNA) molecules are approximately 80 nucleotides in length. Their secondary structure includes four short double-helical elements and three loops (D, anti-codon, and T loops).
Source: Rfam by way of RNAcentral
GUGCCUGUAGCUCAAUUGGACAGAGCGUCGGUCUACGGAACCGAAGGUUGCAGGUUCGAGUCCUGCCAGGCGCG